Lingula anatina is the source of this 887-nucleotide RNA transcript. RefSeq lists it as uncharacterized. The record is from RefSeq and is a predicted model, not a curated record. NCBI's taxonomy places the organism in Eukaryota, Metazoa, Brachiopoda, Lingulata, Lingulida, Lingulidae.
GGAAACAUAGCCAAAUAAUUUGAUAUCAGAUGUAGAUGUAUGAUGAUAGAAAGCCUAAAUCACCAUCCUGGGAUUAGGACCCAUUGCGCCAUAUCAAAAAACAAAAACAAGUUUAAAUCGAAACUUGCGUUCAAAAAGCGGGUGUCCUGUACAUUAUUAUGUAAUACAAGUGAGCAUUUCGGUGAGAGGUGUUCAGGUAGGACCAAGGUCAGUAGAAGAUGGAGAAGACAGAGGUUCUUGGUACGUUGCUGCAAUUUCCACAUGUAGGCCAAAAAUUUAGCACAGAAAAUGACAGGAAGCUGCCGUGGUAUUGUAUAGAGAAGGAAGGCACUUGCCAAUAAGGAAGUGAGAGGCUUAUUGCAGCUGUCCAAAGGAACAAGUCAACAAGUAAGACGACUGGUGACUCCCAACCGCUGUUUACCGGGUGAUUGGAUGCGUCGCCGAUCACAGACAUCAGAUUCAUGUUGGACAUCGCCUGCGCCCAUGCCAAGAUUGUCUCGCUUGUUGAAGUUUGUCUUGUAGUUUAUUUGCAGAGUUGACAUUUGAUAUGAAAUGUAAUCUUUGCCUUGGAUAGUAAUAUUCUGCAUAAAAUUUGUAUAAAAUAAUUGUUGUACGCAGCAAGAAUUUUUAACGAAACUUCUGAUCAGAGAAAAAGAAAGAAAUGAAUGGCGUCGACCCUGCAUGUCGCUGGUUAUAUAAUAUAGAUUUGUUUCUAAAUCAUAGUACAGUAUUUUAUCCGCUCAUAUCGUUUCAAGGUAUUUUAUUUAUUAUGUAUAUUUAUUAUUGUGUCGGAAGGAAGUACCCAUCAAUUCUCAAACAAAAAUACGGCACUUUUUGGAGUUCACCUUUAACAAAAUAAUUUUAACUCAAAAAGUAUUUUGCUGAAA